CCCAGACUCCUACGGGAGGCAGCAGUGGGGAAUAUUGCACAAUGGGGGGAACCCUGAUGCAGCGACGCCGCGUGGGUGAAGGAGCACCUCGGUGCGUAAAGCCCUAUCGGCAGGGAAGAAACAGACGGUACCUGACUAAGAAGCCCCGGCUAACUACGUGCCAGCAGCCGCGGUAAUACGUAGGGGGCAAGCGUUAUCCGGAUUCACUGGGUGUAAAGGGAGCGUAGACGGCGACGCAAGUCUGGAGUGAAAGCCCGGGGCCCAACCCCGGGACUGCUCUGGAAACUGCGGCGCUGGAGUACGGGAGGGGCAGGCGGAAUUCCUGGUGUAGCGGUGAAAUACGUAGAUAUCAGGAGGAACACCGGUGGCGAAGGCGGCCUGCUGGACUGCGACUGACGUUGAGGCCCGAAAGCGUGGGGAGCAGACAGGAUUAGAUACCCUCGUA
This 445-nucleotide ribosomal RNA is filed under the name uncultured bacterium. RNAcentral's name for it is "partial 16S ribosomal RNA". It matches the Rfam family "Bacterial small subunit ribosomal RNA", at positions 330 to 792 of the family's 1533-position model. The record is from RNAcentral.